This 292-nucleotide ribosomal RNA is filed under the name uncultured bacterium. Its description in RNAcentral is "partial 16S ribosomal RNA". It matches the Rfam family "Bacterial small subunit ribosomal RNA", at positions 505 to 796 of the family's 1533-position model. The record is from RNAcentral.
GUGCCAGCAGCCGCGGUAAGACGAACCGUGCGAACGUUGUUCGGAUUCACUGGGCUUAAAGGGCGCGUAGGCGGGCCAUCAAGUCCGGGGUGAAAUCCUCCAACUUAACUGGAGAACAGCCUUGGAUACUGGUGGUCUGGAGGAAGGUAGGGGCAUGUGGAACUUCCGGUGGAGCGGUGAAAUGCGUAGAUAUCGGAAGGAACGCCGGUGGCGAAAGCGACGUGCUGGACCUUUUCUGACGCUGAGGCGCGAAAGCCAGGGGAGCAAACGGGAUUAGAUACCCGCGUAGUCC